Molecule: non-coding RNA, 30 nt
Filed under: Homo sapiens (human)
Lineage: Eukaryota; Metazoa; Chordata; Mammalia; Primates; Hominidae
Source: RNAcentral
UCUGCUUGUGGUGGAAACAUAAAGGCCUCC